UUUUUACACAAAAUUUUUUUAAUAAUGAACAUAACUGAGUCUGAAUUUCUAGGGUAAGUGAAAACUAUGAUACAAUAUGACGCGGUAUGAUAUGGUGAUAUGAUGUAUGCUGGGUAGCAAAGAGAUUCCAGCUUAACGCCCUGAUGCUAGGUCCUUGACAACUUUCUUCUCGAUGCUGAAAUUUCCUGUACUCGAGGCUCCUGAGCUUAUAAUGUAAGAAGAUUCUCCAAGCAAGCUCUCCAACUCUUCAGGAUUUUGUUGCGUCCAUGGGUGUUGCAUUACCUUAACCAGCCUAUCGAGCUUCUCCGCAACUUUCUUCAUGGAUGGUCUAUCCUCACCACACAUUGCCAAGCAUUGCUUUGCUAAAUCUACAACUUCUUCGAGAAACUCCAUGUUCUCUUCAUUGCUAAUUUGAUCGUCCAAUAUAUUCUCAAGCUUGUUCUCCUUCAUAGCUGAGAGAAACCUCAUUGACAAACUUUUCUCAUUUCCAGGAGCAUCAAGGUUGAAAACGUUCUUCCUUGUGAGCAGUUCUAGAAGAACAACUCCAAAGCUGUAAACGUCACUCUUAUCUGUUAAUUCACAUGUUUGCAUAUACUCUGGAUCAAGGUAACCCCAAGUCCCUUGGACUAGCGUGACAAGCUGUGACUUGUCUAGUGGAGCUAAGAUGGAAGCACCAAAGUCGGAGACUUUUGCCAUGAAGUUAACAUCGAGGAGGAUGUUGGAGGACUUGACAUCACCAUGGAUGAUGGGUGGUGAAGCGUAGGAGUGGAGGUAGGCUAGUGCCUCAGCUGAUUCAUGGGCGAUCCGUAGACGAGUAACUAGAGAAAUGUGUUGGCCAUGGUUGCCAUGGAUGAGAUUGGAUAGCGUUCCAUUUGGGAUAAAUUCAUAUACUAGCAUAGGAACUUGUACUUCAAGGCAACAUCCUAAUAGUUUAACAAUGUUUAUGUGGUUUAUUUAGGAUAGGAUUAGCAUUUCUUUACCAAAUUCUUUCUUGUGUUGCUCAUCCAUUGUCAUGCAUUUCUUGACAGCUAUUUUAGUGUUGUCCUUGAGAAGUCCCUUGUAAACAGUGCCAUGACCACCAUGGCCAAGAAUUUGGUUUUUGUCAAACUUGUUUGUAGCAUGCUGCAACUCUGCUUCUGAGAAAAUUGUAAAUGAUUUCCUUUCAUUUGAAUUCAUCUCUUGAAACAGCAGUAGACCACCGUGUAGCUUAAAAUAUUUCUGCUUGAUGUGUUGCAGCUUUCUUCUCUCGCGGAUCAAGUACGAACAAGUUGCCAUGAUCACAAGUAUGACAAAUCCAACACUUGCCCCUGGUUGCCGAAUAUAAAUUUGUCAGCCAAUAACAAUACUAGGACAAACGACGACUUGACUUAGAAAAGCAAGCGUUGUAGUACGUACCAAUGCACUAAUAAGAUAAUCAAUAUGUAAAUAUAUAUAUAUUAGCAAAGAAUAUCUACUGCUAGUUGUAGUACGUACCUACAACAGGCAUCACCCAAGCUUGGGACUUCUGAAUCUUCUGAUCUGGAACACAGACACCCCGAGCCAGCUCAUUUUGUCCUUGAGGGCAAGAACAUUUGUAACUCCCGAUUGUAUUUUCACAAAUUCCAGCGCAUGGAUAAGUAGUGUUAUCAAGACAUUCAUUGAUAUCUGAAACAAAGCAAACUUUCGUGAAUAUAAGUUCUUAUUGUAUACUUUGCUGAAUAGAGAGAGGGAGAGAGAGAGAGAGACAGAGAGACCUCUGCAUCCAAGAAGACCGUCCUUGACGUAAGGAUUGCCAUCGAACCCCUUGGAGCACUUGCAGCGAUAACCUCUCCCAUUCGUUGAAUUGAGGCAUUCGCUAUUGUUGCUAACACAAGCAUAUGAACUCAUGUUCGUUUUCGCUUCCUCGCAUGUCUCCCAUGUAAUUAUCCAGUCCAUCACGGCCGGAACAGUCCCGUUGUAGUCAUCCCAGAAGUUUGUUGAGGGAAUGUAAGUGGUGCUAUAGUUCAAAACUAGAAGUCCAGCCACUCACUUACACAGCCUUUUCCAUCACUACCACGUAGCCACAACUGCUGUAGCUGAUUUCUGAGGAGUUAUAGUCUUUAUUGAAGUAAGCCUCAAGAUAACCCAGGUCUGGCGGGACAUCCACCGAACAACAGCCAGCGCCAGAGCAAGAACCAUUUUUUGGUUGAUCGGAGCAUGUGGACAAGCAACCUAUGACAUACUGCAUAAGUCACAGAUGUUAAUUUGUAUCUAUGACGUUAAAUUAAAUGAGAUUAUGUAACGAUCAGUACUGAGCGCCUAGUAUAUUAAUAUAAGCAAAAUGUCGUCAAAGCAUAAAUAUGAGGAGAUACUUACGGAAACACCUCUCAUGUAGGCCAUUGUAUUGCAACCGAUGAUGAAAAUCUUGUUAUCCUCGUAUGAGAACCUGAAGGGCAUGUAGGUGAAGUUUUGGAAAUCCACCCAUUCCUUCAUUUUGCUCGAGGCCGAGUCAUAGCACUACCAAGAGAUCCGCAUCUUCAUCCAGGCUUUGGCAUCGCGCACAGAGAUUUUCGUCACCUCAAACGACCCCUUGAAAGGCCUCUUGGUGCCGUUGACAGGCUUGCAGAUGAUGUUGAAGCCAUGGUGGAUUGCGCAGUGAUCGCCGAUGCCGAAGGGGAACGGGAUGUCGACGUCCCCGCACCUCGUCUGGCAGCCUGGGUGUCCAGCCACGGGGACGUCGGCGGCUACCAUCCCGAUGGCUGAAACGCAGAUCAGAAGAAUGGUGGAGGGAAGAGGCUUAGUCAUUGCGUGUGUGUGUGGAGACUGGAGGAGACAGGAGAGUGUGUGCUUUGCUGGGGCGUGACGCGGUGUGUGUUAAAUAGAGAUAUCCGCUUUACUGUCCCUGGGCAGCUUGCCCUGCAGUAUGUGAUUAAUAAAAGCUGGUGGUUGAUUAUUGAUCAUUCCCGAUAUGAUACUUUCGUCCAUGUAUAUAAAUAAUUUUACCCUUUUAUUUUUUUGGGAUUUUGUAAUCUUAAGAUAGUAUUUUAUUUUCCCAUCUAUCAACUUGUGUAAUAGUUUAUUCUUUACCUAUCAACUUUUGUCUUAUUUUAUCCUUCCACCUAUCACCUUUUAUACUAUGGCAUAUCCUUUUGCUACUUCUUUAAAAAAAAUUUAAAUGACAUAAUUCCUUAUAGCUAGGCACACGCACGAGGAAUUAAAGUCUGUUGUCAUGUACUCUCCAUUCUAAAAUAUAUUUUUUUAACAGAAACCACACGAGAUUACGCUUUUUCAUUAAAUAUAGCAGGAGAAAAAUACAACCCCUAAAGGCAAACAUUCUAAAAUAUAUUAAACUAGUAUUAGAUUUGAUAUAAUUUAAUUCUAUAAAUCUAAACUAGCAUGAUAGUAUCAUUAUAUUUUCUCUCAUAUAAUAGCAUAUAUAUUUUCUUAUUAUAUUAUUCAAAUAUAUUAAAAUAAUAACAUAAUUUUAAAUUUUGCAAUAACUUUACGAAACUACUAAUGUUAAUGUGUAAUAUUCAUAUAGUAUUUUAUAUAUGUGUUAGUUCUUAAUUAUUUUUAAUAUCAAAUUUUAAUUAUUUGUAAAUUAUAUAUAUUCCUACAUUGACUCUAGACUCGUCUAUUAAUAUUUCUUUUUUUUAAUUUUAAAUUUUCUGUAAAUUGUAUUUCUAUAUAUAGACUCUAGGCUCUUCUUCCAAUAUUAUUUAUUUUUAUUUCUGAUUUUUUAUUAUUUCUAAUUGUAUUUCUAUGUGGACUCUAUACUCAUCUUUUAAUAUUCUUUAAUUUUGAAUUUUGAAUUUCAGUUACUUCUAAAUUGUAUUCCUAUAUUAACUUUAAACUCUUCUUCCCAUGUUUUUCUUAAUUUCAAAUUUUAGUUAUUUGUAAAUUAUAUUUUUAUACGGACUCUAAACUCUACUUUAAUUUUAUUAUGUUUAUUUCAAAUUUUAGUUAGUUUUAAAUUCCUAUAUGGACUCUAUACUCUACUUCUAAUAUUCCUUAUUUUUUAAUUCCGAAUUUCUUUUUUUUUCUUAAUUGUAUUUCUAUAUGGAUUCUAUACUCUACUUCUAAUAUUCCUUAUUUUUAAUUCCGAAUUUCUAUUAUUUCCUAAUUGUAUUUCUAUAUGAACUCUAUACUCUACUUCUAAUAUUCCUUAUUUUUUAUUCCGAAUUUCAGUUAUUUCCUAAUUGUAUUUCUAUAUGGACUCUAGUCUCCUAUUCUAAUAUUCUUUAUUUUUAAAUUCCGAAUUUCAACUAUUUCUAAAUUUUAUUUCUAUAUGGACUCUAGUAUCCUCUUCUAAUAUUCAUUAUUUUUUAAUUCUGAAUUUCAGCUAUUUCUAAAUUAUAUUUAUAUAUGGACACUGUUUUUUCUUUUUCUUUGAUUAAUGUGAGAAUUUCUAGACCAUGAGAGCGAACGUGGAGACUCAUUUUUCUAUGCCUUUAAUAAUAUAAUAGAUAGGUUCUUGUUCAAUUUCAUACUACUAAAAUAUGUCUUUUAUCCCGAUUGCUAUAUUUUAUAAUACGUGGCGUCUAAAGGAUUCAGGAUGGUCCAUCAACGAAAUACUCGCCCUCGCCCAUGCACGCUUUACUCAGUCAGCCGGUCAGCUUAGUAUAUGUCGCUCUAAUUGGCUGGAUUAACUCUAGGGUCCCAGGGAGACUUGCCAAGUCAAUGCCGCUGUUGUUGAGCUCAGAGCAUAUCAGAGCAACUAGCUAGCUGGAGUAGCUUCCAAGAGGUACAGUAGCAGUCGGUCCACGAUUGUGGAGACUGAUGAAUGAGUCCAAGUCUUGUGUGACUGAGACAGUGAGACGUGUGAUUCCCCCGGAACAAGUUGGAGGUUGGAGUAGACAAGUGUUGCACCAGCUAAAAAGACUAUUUUUUGUCUUGCUCGUAUUAGGGCCUGAUUAGUUUAAAAAAAAAUUUUCACGCUGUUAUAUCGAAUAUUUGGAUACAUUUAUAGAGUAUUAAAUGUAAAAAAAAAAUAAUUACACAGUUCGCCAGGAGAUUGCGAGACGAAUCUUUCAAGCCUAAUUGCACUAUAAUUUGACAAUAUGGUACUAUAUUAAAUAUUACUAAUGACAGAAUAAUUAGGCUUAACAAAUUCGUCUCGCAGUUUCCUGGUGGAAUCUAUAAUUUAUUUUGUUAUUAGAUUACGUUUAAUACUUUAAAUGUCUGUCCGUAUAUCUGAUGUGACAUGUAGGGCAAAUUUUUUUUCUAACUAAACAAGCCCUUAAUCCUCUGUCUAGCCAUCCCGUUGAUAUAUAUAUUUUUCUAAACUUAAGCCCUUAAACAAGCCCUUAACUCCGGAUCCCAAACUUUUUUUUCUAUUUUUCUAGAGCAAAGUACACGGCCGGUCCUUAAAGUUGGAACGAGGUGUCACUUAGGUCCAUGAUCUAGGAAAAUCGUCAUUCGGGUCCGCGGUCUUGUUUAAGUGAAUCAUUUAGGUCCAAAGCGCCUUUGAUUGGAUUGACUGGCUUACGUGACCGUCCACGGUGGCAGCAUGUUUGCAUUUUAGCCCCCCUCCCAUCUUGGCUCCCCCUGUCUCUAUCUCAUUUCUCUAUCUCCACAUGUUGUCAGUUGCUGACCACCACGCGUGCAUGCAUGAGCCACUAGCUGCACCCGCCGAACACCCCGGAGCCGUCGCCUGCACCCGCGUUGUGCGUGUCCUGGGAGAAACCGAGCACGGUCUGAGCUUGUUGUUGCUCCUGCUGUGGCGGUGGCGGCAUGCGGAACUCGCCGAGAUGGAACCCCACGGCUGCAUACUCCGCCGGCAUCCCUAGCGGCCCCAUCUGAGGCAGAGGAACGUAGCAGCCAAUGCUCCUCAGCAACUCCAUCGCCGAGAACACGCACCCACGCUGCCCCUGCCACCAACGCCGUUCGCCACCGCCAUGUUGCCUCCGGGGUUGCACAUGUUGCUACUCUCCAAGCUCGGGAACGCUGUGAACUCCGGCGACUGCAGGGCGCGGCCGUGGUGAUGCGGGAACGCCAGGUUGAGGUCCUACGCGCCCUUGUGCAUCGACUUCAGGUUCUUAGCCGCCAGCCCCACGGGGACCGAGCUAGACACCGUCGCGGAGGUGGAGGCCGACGCGGCCGCUGAUGACACCAUGAGGACGACGAACGCUUGUUCUCCCUUACCGUUGCCGCCGUACGCGCCUCCCUCAUCGUCGUUGUCGUCCUCGCGGCCGCCGCCACAUCUACACCGCCACCCAAUCGCCGUUGCAAUCGCUAACCCUAGAAAUCACACAGGAGGAGCCGAGGAGGAUUUGGGGGAGAAUGGUUGGAUCGUAUAUGGGAGAGCCAAGAUGCGGGGGGCUAAAAUGCAAAUAUGCUAUCACCGUGGACGGCCACGUAAGCCAGUCAACCUGGUCAAAGGCGCUUUGGACCUAAAUGAUUCACUUAAACAAGAUCACGGACCCAAAUGACGAUUUUCCUAGAUUAUGGACCUAAGUGACACAUCGCUCCAACUUUAAGGACCGGCCGUGUACUUUACUCAUUUUUCUAUAAGUAAAUUGCGACGGAUGGAUAUGAUUUAGAACAACAACUUGAAAUUCGAACUAACUGGUGCAGUAACUUUCUUGGUUUGUGACAGUUUGUGUGGGUUUUUAAUCCAAAUGAGUGCCACGUCGACAAUCCAGUUAUUAUAGCUAGAGAGUGUGCUCCCAUGGGAAAGGAAAAAGUACACCGAAGGUCCCUCAACUUAUUAUCGGGAUAAAAAACGUCCUCGAACCGCAAAACCAGAUAUGCCCAAUUUUAAUCGUUCGUCUUAUUUAAAAAAACUUUUAAAAAAAUUUAAAAACAUAAGUCAGUAAUGAGUAAAGUAUUCUUCAUGUUUUAUCAUCUCAUAACAACAAAAAUACUAAUUAUAAAAAAAUUUCAAAUAAUACGAACGAUCAAAGUUAGGCAAAAAAAACUUAUCGUUGUACUUAAAAUAGGACAUAAAAUAGGGCAGAGGGAAUAAGAUCUCAGAAAGUGUAUAUUUGAUCAUAAAUGAAGUAUAUCCCAAGAAUUAUGGACGACGACUGACUCCCGGGUCUUUACGUCGAAAAGAAAGAGUGCAUAUACCUUUUUUUUUUUCAAAAUGUUUUUCCUCCAUCGUAAUCGAUCUCCAGCUCUAUUAACUACACAUAGCAACGGAAGACUUCGAACGACUGACGUAACUUGGCAGUCAUGCGUGAUAGCAGCAUUGAUAAGUGAAUAAACUUGAUCCGUUAAAUUUGUGUGGCUGAUAGUCUAACUGUACCAAUCGGCCACCGUUCACAUCACAUUGGCCCUGCUUUAAUCCAAGAAAUUGAGUAAAAACAGGCUGCGUUCACCUGAGAAAACCUGGCCUCGUCCAUAUCACACAAUUUCUCGGCGACCUGGCGAGCGAUGUUUAUGGGUCUUGGGUACAAUUGGGGGGCUUCACAGGGUCGGUCUUCUCUAAUGACAGUUCUGGUUCUCUUCGCUCCGCUCAGUAUCAUGGAAGACUUGACUGUUUCACAGCCCACAGGGUCUUGUAACUUCGAACGGUGAAUUCCGCGUGAUGCUCCGUUGCGUGCAAAACUACAAAGGUACAUUUUCCAUUGCGAGCUGUAGCUCUAUUAUUUUCGGUUAAGAUUCAGAUUUUACUGUAUUAUGUGCCUUUCUAUUUAGAAGUUACUUUAAAAUAUCAAAUAUAUUUAUCAAGUUUGUAAUAAUUAAAACUUAGUUAAUGACUUUCUCGUUUUGUGCGUGUCAACUUAAUUUUUAUUUUCAUCCGCUUCAAACACAGCUUUUAUAAUUAAAACACAGCAUUGACAACUUAAUUUUUACAUAUCGAAUUGCUGAAAAUGUCCGGACCAAACGCAGCUUUUGUCAAUGCGCAACCGAGUACGAUGAGACAACAUUUUUUGGGUUUAGAAGUUGGUUAGGAUGGGUUGCAAGAUGCAUGGGUCAGCAUAUCUUGUAAGGUUUGGUCAAGAAAAUGCUGAAACCAAGUGUACCAUAGGCAAUUACCACACGGUAGACAGAAUCACAUAAAUCGGUGGGGAAAAUAGUACAGUGAUAGAACAUUAACUUGACUUCGUAUGAUUGCUUCUUAUUCUCAUAUAUGAUGAAACACAGUCCCAUAAAGACUAAAGGUGUACACAAACAAUAUUUUUUUAUUUUUACACAAAAAAUAAUUAAUAAUGAACAUAACUGAGUCUGAAUUUCUAGGGUAAGUGAAAACUAUGAUACAAUACGACGCGGUACGACAUGGUGAUAUGAUGUAUGCUGGGUGGCAAAGAGAUUCCAGCUUAACGCCCUGAUGCUAGGUCCUUGACAACUUUCUUCUCGAUGCUGAAAUUUCUUGUACUCAAGGCUCCUGAGCUUAUAAUGUAAGAAGAUUCUCCAAGCAAGCUCUCCAAUUCUUC
Molecule: long non-coding RNA, 8339 nt
Filed under: Oryza sativa (Asian cultivated rice)
Lineage: Eukaryota; Viridiplantae; Streptophyta; Magnoliopsida; Poales; Poaceae
Description: long non-coding RNA (OSAT_LNC001676)
Source: RNAcentral